RNAcentral lists this ribosomal RNA (253 nucleotides) under uncultured bacterium. RNAcentral's name for it is "partial 16S ribosomal RNA". It matches the Rfam family "Bacterial small subunit ribosomal RNA", at positions 524 to 776 of the family's 1533-position model. The record is from RNAcentral.
UACAGAGGGGGCUAGCGCUGUUCGGAAUUACUGGGCGUAAAGGGCGCGUAGGCGGCCCGCUAAGUCGAACGUGAAAUCCCCGGGCUCAACCCGGGAACUGCGUCCGAUACUGGCAGGCUUGAAUCCGGGAGAGGGAUGUGGAAUUCCAGGUGUAGCGGUGAAAUGCGUAGAUAUCUGGAGGAACACCGGUGGCGAAGGCGGCAUCCUGGACCGGCAUUGACGCUGAGGCGCGAAAGCUAGGGGAGCGAACGGG